RNAcentral lists this long non-coding RNA (2052 nucleotides) under Medicago truncatula (barrel medic). RNAcentral describes it as "lncRNA gene40188". The record is from RNAcentral. Lineage: Eukaryota; Viridiplantae; Streptophyta; Magnoliopsida; Fabales; Fabaceae.
UUUACAAUAUUCAAAAUGUCCUAGCGGCAGAAACUUUUGUCUUAAAAAAAAGUUAGGAUUUCUACAGUACAUGUGCAAAAUCAAUGCGUUUCAGUACAGUUGGUCUUUGAAUCAAUAGCGAAAAAAUGUUUGGUUAGACCUUUUGCAUUUAAGCAUGAAAAAAUGAUUAACUUUGAUAAUUCCUCAGUUGGUACUGUUUAGUUUAUAAUUGCGGCGUUUCUUCAAAAAAAAGUUUAUAAUUGCGGCGAUGAAUGAAAAACUCUGCAUUGUAAUUAGGUUAGUUUAAUCUCAAUUGUAUACCAUGUAGUGUGAAUUUACAUAUGCUUUUGCCCCAAUAUAUAUUCUUUUGGUUCAUUGAUGAGUUUUGGGGGUUAUUUUAUACUGUUUUGGACUGAGAAUUUUGACAGCAAAUGGUCACCUCGCUUUCCCCCUGCCCCGUUUGGUAUCUUUCUCACUUAAUUAUUGAUCAAACGUGCCUGGAAUCUCUUUAUAUAAUAUAUUUGUGCUUACGAUUACUUGCGCAAAUAAUUAUUUAGGAUUUUGGAUUUGCAUCUUGGGUUUUGGUUAUUGAUUGAUUUAAUUUAAUUAGCAAAGCUAAGCAAAUCUGUAGAAAGAUUGUCACCUUUUGUUUUUAUUUUGAAUUUGGCUAGGAAUAUGGAAUUAAGUUACUUAAGGACUCAGUUGCCUAUGUCUAAUUAGUCAAUUAGAGUUGAUUCGAUAGUCAUAAGUCAAUGUAAAUCAAGUAGUGGUAGUUGAAUGAAAAAGAGAAGUGAAGAUGAGAUGGGUGAACGAGUGUUAAAGCCAAAUCUGAUGCAACUUGUCUUGUUCAUAAGUUAGAAAUGAAAUUUGUUUUAACCAUAAAAGAACUUGGUAGACAGUGGAAUACUAAAUUGAAUUCAACACUUGUAAGUUUGAAUUAUAUUCAGUCCAAAUAUAUCUGAUAUCCACUUUUUACUGCAAUUUUACUGAACUUCCAUUGGUUUUACUGCCAUCUUAAAUUAUGUUGAUGACCUGGCACUAAUUUACCUCAAAUUACAAACUGGCCUUCUUAAGUGGCCCCCCUGCAAGUGUACGGUAGGAUUGGACCCCUCGGAUUAGUCAGUUUUUGGGACGGAUACCAAGUUUUAAAAAAAUAAAACCCUCAAAUUACAAGUCUUAAACAGUUGCUAGAUAUCAUGUUCAGCAUAAGAGAUCUUGAAGCAGUAAGGUCCAAGAAAGACAUUUCCUUAUGCCAAAGGAAAUACACCCUUGACUUGGCUACAACAUGCUGGGUUAUGGCUUCUAGACCAUCUUCCACUCCAUGGAUCCUAGUUUAAAAAUUCAUUGUAAAUAUGGCCCACCAUUAUUUGAUACUUCAGUAUUUGGAAUAUUAACAAGUAAACUCUGACAUAUGUUAUUUGCAGAUUAAGCCAAUUCCUCUCUUCACUUACUGACACACACCUCAAAGCUGCUUUACGGAUUCUGCAUUACUUGAAGAACAACCCAGGCAAAUGCAUCUUCGUCUCUAAUGCUUCCAAUCCUCAUUUCAACCGGGGCUCUUGUCCAUACAGCAUAAGGUGAACCACUGAGUUCUGCUUUCUUAGUAGCUCUCUCAUUUCAUGGAAAAGCAAGAAGCAAUGCGUAGUUUCUCGUUCUUUCUCAGAGGCAUAAUAAAGAGCACUAGCUAAUGCAACUUGAGGCUCCACGGUUGCUUUAUCUUUUACAUGAUUUCAGCAAAACAUUCUACCUAAGUGCUUCAAUACUGUGACAAUAUUUCAGCUUUGCACAUAGCUGCAAAUAUGGUCUUUCACGAACGCACAUAACACAGAGAAACGGAUCCCUAUAUAGUUCAAGGUUCCAGAAUGUUACAACUCAUGCCAAGCGCGUCAAAAGACCAACCUGCAUAUUCAUUAACAAAACCUCUGCACCUGGUAUUUUGCACUCUCUACUUUCCAAACUCAACAUGGUUAAUAUACAUUCCUGCUUGAGGGGGGUGUUAAAUAUACUAUUUAACCCAUUUGACUUGGUCUAAGCUAUCACAUAUCUCAUAAUUAAUUAGAAAACGUUUACUUU